AACGACAUCCAAACAGCCUAAUUCGUACUUAAAGUCCAACAAUAUGAGAUAAACCAACUUCAAGGAUCAGAUUUCCAAAACACCCUCUCAUAUCUGGCGUGUGUCAAAGUUUCCAAGAAUCUAAAAGGGACUCCGGGCAUUGAUUACACCCCAAAAAAUAUUUCAGAAUCAAGAACAUAGUACAGUGUAAAAAAGCCAGCUCUCAGAUGUCCACGUUCAGAGGGAAUUCAAGGUCCCAAAGCAAGGCUUAAAAGAGAGGGGCAGAACUUAAGGUUCUAGGAAUAGGUGUGAGUGCACAAAGGGGAAGGGAAUCAGGGAGAGACGGGGCAAGCUAGUGGUCAUUCCCAGCAAUUGGGAUGCUGGCACACCCCUGACCAGCCUGCUAGUAAAGCAUUGAGAGUUAGGGUCUAUUGUGGAUCAGGUCAUGGUCUGGGCAGUAAUUCGGAUACUAUCGGGCCAAGACCUUAACUCAAACAUAUAGAAAGGAAUAGGGAUGGCGAUUCACAACAGAAACAGAUACGAGGAAAUUAGCAUAGAUCAUUGAACAUGAGCAGUAAAGCAAAUAAGAGUGCCAGAACUGUAAAGUAAACACUUAGAGAUGAGGCAGAAUGUUUAAACAAAAGACAUACCAGUUUCAAAGAAAAUAAGUAAACAGUAGUAGCCUUGAAAGAGCCAAGUUGUAGUUCUAAAAGAUCUCAAGGAAAAAAGUGUUGAAAACAGUAUUGAAAGUAUGUGAUUAGAAGAGUUUUUGUUCGUGUCUUUUUUCUAGUGUUUGUAAAGAGGGAAGACAGGUCCUUAUAUAGCUUUUGAAAAAAAGCAGUACAUAGGCAAUGAGUGCACAAACACGGAAAUAGCAAUCAAUUAGUGUCAAUUAAGACAACUGGAAUACAUUAAUUAAGGAGUCUAGUUUUAACGGUUAGUUAAGGCAGAACAAGGAAAAAAAUCAGUUCAAUGAGGCUGAUUACGACAAGAAACCACAUAGUGCAUAAAUAAGGUCAAAUACAUAGUGGGUAAUUAAGGAAAGUAGUGUAUUUACAAAGUAAAAUAGUGCAUCAGUUUAAAAAUCAACCAAGAGGAUCCCGGAUCCAAUCAUAAUCACGAUGAAUCCCAAGUAAUUAAGGAAAGAGUCAUAUAGGUAUAGAAAUAAUUCAAACAUUGGUACAGAAUCACAGAAGGUCAUGUAUUUAAGGAAAACAUCAAAAACAUAGGAUUUUUACACAAAAGGAUCAAAAUAAGGAGGUUCAAUUGAAAGAAAUUAGUGGGGAAUCAUUAGCCUGAUUAAAGGGAUUUCAAAAAAAUCGAUCCUUUGGUUAGUGAAACCUUGUGAAAGAGGAGAUUUUCUCACAUAUAAAGCACACAGGUCAAACAAAAGAGUUGUUUACUAUAUAAAAAGAGUUUAACACUGAAAGUCUCAUAGUCGCAAGGGAACAGGAUUUCAGCUUCAACUACAGACUCUUAGUGAGUCUGAAAGCCUAGGGUUCUAAAGUGGAACCCUAGUACUACUUGUCAAAGAAACCCCCAAAACCUAGGGUUUCAAAUAGAGUCAUAGGUGAGAAGACAAAGACAUUGAGAGAGGCUUAGAAAGACAGAUAAACAUACAUAAUAGCAAGAAUACUGGCUCAAGGUCAUGCUUGAGAAAACUUGGAAUUUAAGCAAGUUUGAGAAGAAAGAGAUAAUUCGAACUUAAACAAAAUAGGUAAAACAUGCUUAGCAAGAACAUAAACAAAACUCAGUAAGGUGAACAACAUCAGAGAGCUUCAAACAUAAACACACACAUAUAGCAAAGCAUGCGAAUUAAUAAAAAAAUAGAAGGUUCUUGCAUAAUAGAUAAGAGAUAAAAGAGCACAAGACACAUAUAAAGAAGGAGAAUCAGCAAAGAAUUUGAAGAAAUCCUUUUUCAAAAGCCAUAAAAAUCGAAUUCGAAUGGUUUUAAAAAGAAAAUUUAGGGAAGAAACCUGUAAAUCUUCAAGUAAAGACUAAAUAUGUCACAGAUUCUGAAAGAAAUAGAUAAGUGAAAAACCAUAGAAAUGACAGAGAAGACCCUAUCAUGAGAAGGUCUUGAAGAAAACUGGAUCAUGAGUCAAAGAGACUCAUAUUGCUCUUAACACGCCGGAAAAUGGCCGCAGAGGCCAUAGAUCUUGCAGAUCUGAGACAGAUCUAAAGAAAAACAUUAGAUUCAGGUUUUAAAUCAUUGAAAAGCUUGAGUUUGAUGGUGAGAUAGGGCGAUCAUAAGUUAUUCAUGGCCUGGAACGCCAUAGAUUCCAGUGGAAUCAUGAUAGAAUGAAGUAGGAGACUGCUAGGGUUUCGGAGAGCUUGGGAGUGUUUUGAGAGGUGAAUGGUUUCAAG
Molecule: long non-coding RNA, 2346 nt
Filed under: Nicotiana benthamiana
Lineage: Eukaryota; Viridiplantae; Streptophyta; Magnoliopsida; Solanales; Solanaceae
Description: long non-coding RNA (NBEN_LNC019567)
Source: RNAcentral